GCGUCGCGAACUCGAGCGGCAGAGUACCGGCCUCUUAAGCCGAUCAGUCAGGGUUCGAGCCCCUGGCGACGCACCA
RNAcentral lists this transfer RNA (76 nucleotides) under Rubrivivax sp. Its description in RNAcentral is "tRNA-Lys". It matches the Rfam family "tRNA". Rfam says of the family: Transfer RNA (tRNA) molecules are approximately 80 nucleotides in length. The record is from RNAcentral. RNAcentral also lists the same sequence under 1 other name. Lineage: Bacteria; Pseudomonadati; Pseudomonadota; Betaproteobacteria; Burkholderiales; Sphaerotilaceae.